GUGUUCUGAAGAUGAACGGGGUUGAACAACAUGAGGAGAACGAGUUACAGGGAAAAAAAACAGCAGGAGAAAAUGCACAACAAAGACACCUCUUAUACCCAGAAGGGGGAAAAAACACUUUAACAGCUCAAAAAAGAGAGCAGCAUCAAAAGAAAAGGAUGAAAGAGGCCAGAAAGGACACAGGCGGGAACAAGCCUUCACUGCUCACAUGAAAGCGAGAGGGGGAAAUGAUCCAGGGUGGAUUCUGUGCUCCUGACUCCUGAGGUGGCGGUAUGCACAUAAAAGUUGGUUGCAAUCCCCCAAUAAUCAAGAGAAGAAGAAGAUUGCCGAAGCUACUACAGCCUACAGUUUGCUAGCUAGCAAAGUCAUCGACUACCGUCGUUUAAAAAUCGAGACUCAUCAGACCAGGCAACAUUUUUCCAGUCU
Pimephales promelas (fathead minnow) is the source of this 426-nucleotide non-coding RNA. Lineage: Eukaryota; Metazoa; Chordata; Actinopteri; Cypriniformes; Leuciscidae. The record is from RefSeq and is a predicted model, not a curated record.